UUUAUGGAGAGUUUGAUCCUGGCUCAGGAUGAACGCUGGCGGCGUGCCUAAUACAUGCAAGUCGAGCGAACAGACGAGGAGCUUGCUCCUCU
This 92-nucleotide ribosomal RNA is filed under the name Staphylococcus epidermidis. RNAcentral describes it as "partial 16S ribosomal RNA". It matches the Rfam family "Bacterial small subunit ribosomal RNA", at positions 1 to 89 of the family's 1533-position model. Lineage: Bacteria; Bacillati; Bacillota; Bacilli; Caryophanales; Staphylococcaceae. The record is from RNAcentral. RNAcentral also lists the same sequence under 2 other names.